This 252-nucleotide ribosomal RNA is filed under the name uncultured bacterium. RNAcentral describes it as "partial 16S ribosomal RNA". It matches the Rfam family "Bacterial small subunit ribosomal RNA", at positions 1179 to 1431 of the family's 1533-position model. The record is from RNAcentral.
AUGACGUCAAUCAUCAUGCCCCUUAUGACCUGGGCUACACACGUGCUACAAUGGCUGGUACAACGAGUCGCAAGUCGGUGACGGCAAGCUAAUCUCUUAAAGCCAGUCUCAGUUCGGAUUGUAGGCUGCAACUCGCCUACAUGAAGUCGGAAUCGCUAGUAAUCGCGGAUCAGCACGCCGCGGUGAAUACGUUCCCGGGCCUUGUACACACCGCCCGUCACACCACGAGAGUUUGUAACACCCGAAGUCGGU